AGAGAGAGUUGUCCUGUAUAUAGUCAGUGUGGUAGAGAGAGUUGUCCUGUAUACUGUCAUUGUGGUAGAGGGAGAGUUGUCCUGUAUAUAGUCAGUGUGGUAGAGAGAGUUGUCCUGUAUACUGUCAUUGCGGUAGAGAGUUGUCCUGUAUAUAGUCAGUGUGGUAGAGGGAGAGUUGUCCUGUAUAUAGUCAGUGUGGUAGAGAGAGUUGUCCUGUAUACUGUCAUUGCGGUAGAGAGUUGUCCUGUAUAUAGUCAGUGUGGUAGAGAGAGAGUUGUCCUGUAUAUAGUCAGUGUGGUAGAGAGAGAGUUCUCCUGUAUUAUAGUCAGUGUGGUAGAGAGAGAGUUGUCCUGUAUAACUGUCAUUGUGGUAGAGAGAGAGUUGUCCUGUAUACUGUCAGUGUGGUAGAGAGAGAGUUGUCCUGUAUAUAGUCAGUGUGGUAGAGAGAGAGUUGUCCUGUAUAUAGUCAGUGUGGUAGAGAGAGAGUUGUCCUGUAUAUAGUCAGUGUGGUAGAGAGAGAGUUGUCCUGUAUAUAGUCAGUGUGGUAGAGAGAGAGUUGUCCUGUAUAUAGUCAGUGUGGUAGAGAGAGAGUUGUCCUGUAUAUAGUCAGUGUGGUAGAGAGAGAGUUGUCCUGUAUAUAGUCAGUGUGGUAGAGAGAGAGUUGUCCUGUAUAUAGUCAGUGUGGUAGAGAGAGAGUUGUCCUGUAUAUAGUCAGUGGUGGUAGAGAGAGAGUUGUCCUGUCUAUAGUCAGUGUGGUAGAGAGAGAGUUGUCCUGUCUAUAGUCAGUGUGGUAGAGAGAGAGUUGUCCUGUAUAUAGUCAGUGUGGUAGAGAGAGUUGUCCUGUAUAUAGUCAGUGUGGUAGAGAGAGAGCUGUCCUGUAUAUAGUCAGUGUGGUAGAGAGAGUUGUCCUGUAUAUAGUCAGUGUGGUAGAGAGAGAGUUCUCCUGUAUAUAGUCAGUGUGGUAGAGAGAGAGUUCUCCUGUAUAUAGUCAGUGUGGUAGAGAGAGAGUUGUCCUGUAUAUAGUCAGUGUGGUAGAGAGAGAGUUGUCCUGUAUAUAGUCAGUGUGGUAGAGAGAGAGUUGUCCUGUAUAUAGUCAGUGUGGUAGAGAGAGAGUUGUCCUGUAUAAGUCAGUGUGGUAGAGAGAGUUGUCCUGUAUAUAGUCAGUGUGGUAGAGAGAGAGUUGUCCUGUAUAUAGUCAGUGUGGUAGAGAGAGAGUUGUCCUGUAUAUAGUCAGUGUGGUAGAGAGAGAGUUGUCCUGUAUAUAGUCAGUGUGGUAGAGAGAGAGUUGUCCUGGCCUCAACAGAUAACAAUCAUUAUAAAACAGCAGCAACAACAAGCUGGUUCCAAUCAGGACAAA
This 1357-nucleotide long non-coding RNA is filed under the name Oncorhynchus kisutch (coho salmon). RNAcentral describes it as "lncRNA (ENSOKIG00005008856.1)". Lineage: Eukaryota; Metazoa; Chordata; Actinopteri; Salmoniformes; Salmonidae. The record is from RNAcentral.